Anguilla rostrata (American eel) is the source of this 622-nucleotide long non-coding RNA. RefSeq lists it as uncharacterized. The transcript is spliced from 3 exons. NCBI's taxonomy places the organism in Eukaryota, Metazoa, Chordata, Actinopteri, Anguilliformes, Anguillidae. The record is from RefSeq and is a predicted model, not a curated record.
ACUGAAGUUUAGUUGCGCUUUCUACUUUGACAAAGUGAUUGCGUGCUAGAAAUAUUUUCAAAUCAAAACAAACUAGCAGAUUCUAUUUUCCGGACCAGAGAGAUAUGAACUUUGAAAAGAAGAGGGGGUUUCCCUCUAGAUACCAUGGAAGUAAAACGAAGAAAGCAAUAAGCAUCUUAAUAACAGUGGUCUGUGUCUGCUGGCAAAUAAAUGGAGCGACCGGAACAACAACUGCAGCCCCAACCACAACAAGCCCACCAACAACAACUAUUGCCCCAAGUACAACAAGUGCUCCAACAACAACAGCAGCCCCUACCACAACAAGCCCACCAACAACAACUAUGGCCCCAAGUACAACAAGUGCUCCAACAACAACAGCAGCCCCUACCACAACAAGCCCACCAACAACAACUAUUGCCCCAACUACAACAGGUGCUCCAACAACUACUGAAGCCCCUACGACAACAGGCCCACCAACAACAACAAGUAUGGCCCCAACAACAACAAGUGCUCCAACAACAACUAAGUCCCCUACCACAACAAACCCACCAACAACAACUAUGGCACCAACUACAACAAGUGCUCCAACAACAACAGCAGCCCCUACCACAACAAGCCCACC